UGGGGAAUCUUGGACAAUGGGCGCAAGCCUGAUCCAGCCAUGCCGCGUGGAUGAUGAAGGCCUUAGGGUUAGUAAAAUCCUUUCGCCGAGGACGAUAAUGACGGUACUCGGAGAAGAAGCUCCGGCUAACUUCGUGCCAGCAGCCGCGGUAAUACGAAGGGGGCUAGCGUUGUUCGGAUUUACUGGGCGUAAAGCGCGUGUAGGCGGGUCGUUAAGUUGGGGGUGAAAUCCCGAGGCUCAACCUCGGAACUGCCUUCAAAACUGGCGACCUGGACCUAAGUAGAGGCAAGUGGAAUUGCGAGUGUAGAGGUGAAAUUCGUAGAUAUUCGGAAGAACACCAGUGGCGAAGGCGGCUCACUGGACGUGUAUUGACGCUGAGGUACGAAAGCGUGGGGAGCAAACAGGAUUAGAUACCCAUGUAGUCCCUGAGCGGGCUGGCAAGGCGCAU
This 448-nucleotide ribosomal RNA is filed under the name uncultured bacterium. Its description in RNAcentral is "bacterial SSU rRNA". It matches the Rfam family "Bacterial small subunit ribosomal RNA", at positions 355 to 825 of the family's 1533-position model. The record is from RNAcentral.